AGUGAACGUUGGCGGUAGGCCUAACACAUGCAAGUCGAACGGCAGCACAGUAAGAGCUUGCUCUUACGGGUGGCGAGUGGCGGACGGGUGAGGAAUACAUCGGAAUCUACUUUUUCGUGGGGGAUAACGUAGGGAAACUUACGCUAAUACCGCAUACGACCUACGGGUGAAAGCAGGGGAUCUUCGGACCUUGCGCGAUUGAAUGAGCCGAUGUCGGAUUAGCUAGUUGGCGGGGUAAAGGCCCACCAAGGCGACGAUCCGUAGCUGGUCUGAGAGGAUGAUCAGCCACACUGGAACUGAGACACGGUCCAGACUCCUACGGGAGGCAGCAGUGGGGAAUAUUGGACAAUGGGCGCAAGCCUGAUCCAGCCAUACCGCGUAGGUGAAGAAGGCCUUCGGGUUGUAAAGCCCUUUUGUUGGGAAAGAAAAGCAGCAGGUUAAUACCCCGCUGUUCUGACGGUACCCAAAGAAUAAGCACCGGCUAACUUCGUG
Molecule: ribosomal RNA, 492 nt
Filed under: uncultured bacterium
Lineage: Bacteria
Description: partial 16S ribosomal RNA
Rfam family: Bacterial small subunit ribosomal RNA
Source: RNAcentral